Molecule: ribosomal RNA, 488 nt
Filed under: uncultured bacterium
Lineage: Bacteria
Description: partial 16S ribosomal RNA
Rfam family: Bacterial small subunit ribosomal RNA
Source: RNAcentral
AUUGAACGCUGGCGGCAGGCCUAACACAUGCAAGUCGAGCGGGGUUUUCGGACCUAGCGGCGGACGGGUGAGUAAUGCGUAGGAAGCUACCCGAUAGAGGGGGAUACCAGUUGGAAACGACUGUUAAUACCGCAUAAUGUCUACGGACCAAAGUGUGGGACCUUCGGGCCACAUGCUAUCGGAUGCGCCUACGUGGGAUUAGCUAGUUGGUGAGGUAAUGGCUCACCAAGGCGACGAUCCCUAGCUGGUUUGAGAGGAUGAUCAGCCACACUGGAACUGAGACACGGUCCAGACUCCUACGGGAGGCAGCAGUGGGGAAUAUUGGACAAUGGGCGCAAGCCUGAUCCAGCCAUGCCGCGUGUGUGAAGAAGGCCUUCGGGUUGUAAAGCACUUUCAGUAGGGAGGAAGCGUUGUGUGUUAAUAGUACACAGCGUUGACGUUACCUACAGAAGAAGCACCGGCUAACUCUGUGCCAGCCGCCGCAGUAA